GCAGUCGCCGCGGGAAUACGUAGGUGGCAAGCGUUGUCCGGAAUUAUUGGGCGUAAAGGGCUCGCAGGCGGUUUCUUAAGUCUGAUGUGAAAGCCCCCGGCUCAACCGGGGAGGGUCAUUGGAAACUGGGAAACUUGAGUGCAGAAGAGGAGAGUGGAAUUCCACGUGUAGCGGUGAAAUGCGUAGAGAUGUGGAGGAACACCAGUGGCGAAGGCGACUCUCUGGUCUGUAACUGACGCUGAGGAGCGAAAGCGUGGAGAGCGAACAGGAUUAGAUACCCCCGUAGUCCCUGUCUCUUAUAC
This 302-nucleotide ribosomal RNA is filed under the name uncultured bacterium. RNAcentral describes it as "partial 16S ribosomal RNA". It matches the Rfam family "Bacterial small subunit ribosomal RNA", at positions 508 to 807 of the family's 1533-position model. The record is from RNAcentral.